ACUCCUACGGGUGGCUGCAGUGGGGAAUAUUGGACAAUGGGCGGAAGCCUGAUCCAGCCAUGCCGCGUGUGUGAAGAAGGCCUUAGGGUUGUAAAGCACUUUCAGGGGUGAGGAAGGGUAGCUAGUUAAUACCUAGUUAUCUUGACGUUAGCCCCAGAAGAAGCACCGGCUAACUCUGUGCCAGCAGCCGCGGUAAUACAGAGGGUGCAAGCGUUAAUCGGAAUUACUGGGCGUAAAGCGCGCGUAGGUGGUUUGUUAAGUCGGAUGUGAAAUCCCAGGGCUCAACCUUGGAAUGGCACCCGAUACUGGCAGGCUAGAGUAUGGUAGAGGGGUGUGGAAUUUCCUGUGUAGCGGUGAAAUGCGUAGAUAUAGGAAGGAACAUCAGUGGCGAAGGCGACACCCUGGACUAAUACUGACACUGAGGUGCGAAAGCGCGGGGAGCAAACAGGAUUAGAUACCCUGGUAGUCCACGCCGUAAACGAUGUCUACUAGCCGUUGGGUUGUAAUGACUUAGUGGCGCAGCUAACGCAAUAAGUAGACCGCCUGGGGAGUACGGCCGCAAGGUUAAAACUCAAAUGAAUUGACGGGGGCCCGCACAAGCGGUGGAGCAUGUGGUUUAAUUCGACGCAACGCGAAGAACCUUACCUACUCUUGACAUCCAGUGAAUCCAGAAGAGAUUUUGGAGUGCCUUCGGGAACACUGAGACAGGUGAUGCAUGGCUGUCGUCAGCUCGUG
Molecule: ribosomal RNA, 735 nt
Filed under: uncultured bacterium
Lineage: Bacteria
Description: bacterial SSU rRNA
Rfam family: Bacterial small subunit ribosomal RNA
Source: RNAcentral